UACGGAGGAUGCAAGCGUUAUCCGGAAUGAUUGGGCGUAAAGCGUCCGCAGGUGGCUAUGUAAGUCUGCUGUUAAAGAGUGAGGCUCAACCUCAUAAGAGCAGUGGAAACUACAUGGCUAGAGUGCGUUCGGGGCGAGAGGGAAGUUCCUGGUGUAGCGGUGAAAUGCGGUAGAGAUCAGGAAGAACACCGGUGGCGAAAGCGCUCUGCUAGGCCGCAACUGACACUCAUGGACGAAAGCUAGGGGAGCGAAUGGG
This 256-nucleotide ribosomal RNA is filed under the name uncultured bacterium. RNAcentral's name for it is "partial 16S ribosomal RNA". It matches the Rfam family "Bacterial small subunit ribosomal RNA", at positions 524 to 776 of the family's 1533-position model. The record is from RNAcentral.